This is a long non-coding RNA of Ostrea edulis (European flat oyster), 353 nucleotides long. RefSeq lists it as uncharacterized. The record is from RefSeq and is a predicted model, not a curated record. The transcript is spliced from 2 exons. Lineage: Eukaryota; Metazoa; Mollusca; Bivalvia; Ostreida; Ostreidae.
GUUUUGCAAUUACACAGAAGGUUCCUAAUCAGAUUUCUUUUUCAUUACACGCAGUGAAUAUUUCUACUUAUGAUCAGACUGUUUUUAUCAUCUCACUUCUCUUUGGAUCGAUGGUUCAGGAAAAGUCCAAGAUAGUGGCAGCGUAACAAUAGAUGAAUUCAAAAAGGCAACCCCAGCUCUCGAGAGGAAGAAAAUAUUCAGCUGCAGACGUAAAAUCUCGUGGUGCAUUUUCUGUGUAGUAAACAAGUCCCCGAUGUCUAAAUAUCAAACCAUAAAUGUUAUGUGAUUGGUAUCUGAGAAGUUUUAUAUUCCUUCUCCACUUCCAAUAUAAAUAAAAGUUUGUGUGAUCAAGA